Molecule: small nuclear RNA, 107 nt
Organism: Hyaena hyaena (striped hyena)
Lineage: Eukaryota; Metazoa; Chordata; Mammalia; Carnivora; Hyaenidae
Source: RefSeq, a predicted model, not a curated record
AUGCUUACUUCAGAAGCACAUAUACUAAAACUGGAACAAUACAGAGAAGUGUAGCAUGGCCCUUGGGCAAGGAUGACAUUCAAAUUUGUGAAGUGUUCCAUAUUUUU